AUGUCAGGAGGACAUCUCCUGAUCAGUUGCUUGUAUCUUUCCCAAGCUUCAUAGAGGGAUUCACCCUCUUUUUGCCUGAAAGUUUGUACUUCCACCCUGAGCUU
Small nucleolar RNA from Arachis stenosperma, 104 nucleotides. NCBI's taxonomy places the organism in Eukaryota, Viridiplantae, Streptophyta, Magnoliopsida, Fabales, Fabaceae. The record is from RefSeq and is a predicted model, not a curated record.